Long non-coding RNA from Pipra filicauda (Wire-tailed manakin), 328 nucleotides. RefSeq lists it as uncharacterized. The record is from RefSeq and is a predicted model, not a curated record. Lineage: Eukaryota; Metazoa; Chordata; Aves; Passeriformes; Pipridae. The transcript has 2 exons.
UCACCUUUUCCUUCAGAAACACUCGCUGGGGCCCCUCGAAAUUACCCCAAGUUGGCAGCUACAAAUGUCACCUCUGUCCCUGCCAUGUUAUCCCAGGUUUCCCCAGCUGGGAGCUGCAAGGAAUUCAGGCCAGGGAAUGGACAGCAGGGAACAGCUGUACAUGCAAAGGCAGAAAGAGAAGUUUCCCAGGGAGAAGAACAGGAACUCACAGCCACCAAGGCCUGACAGUCCCCUGCAGCCAGAGCUCAGCACACACCCAGAGAGGCAAUUCCAGCAUCUAAAAGGAAAAAAAAGAACAAAAAAAGUGAUUUAUUUUGUUUUAAAGUUA